CCUACGGGUGGCAGCAGUAGGGAAUCUUCCACAAUGGGCGAAAGCCUGAUGGAGCAACGCCGCGUGGGUGAAGAAGGCCUUCGGAUCGUAAAACUCUGUUGUUAGAGAAGUAAGUGCGUGAGAGUAACGGUUCACGUUUCGACGGUAUCUAACCAGAAAGGCACGGCUCACUACGUGCCAGCAGCCGCGGCAAUACGGAGGUGGCAAGCGUGGUCCGGAUUUAUUGGGCGGAAAGGGAACGUAGGUGGUCUGUUAAGUCAGAUGUGAAAGCUUUCGGCUUAACCGGAAUAGUGCAUUGGAAACUGGGAGACUUGAGUGCAGAAGAGGAGAGUGGAACUCGAGGUGUAGCGGUGAAAUGCGUAGAUAUAUGGAAGAACUCCAGUGGCGAAGGCGGCUCUCUGGACUGUAACUGACGCUGAGGUUCGAAAGCGUGGGUAGCAAACAGGAUUAGAUACCCGAGUAGUC
RNAcentral lists this ribosomal RNA (465 nucleotides) under uncultured bacterium. RNAcentral's name for it is "partial 16S ribosomal RNA". It matches the Rfam family "Bacterial small subunit ribosomal RNA", at positions 338 to 795 of the family's 1533-position model. The record is from RNAcentral.